AUUGAACGCUGGCGGCAGGCCUAACACAUGCAAGUCGAACGAGUGGCGGACGGGUGAGUAAUGUCUGGGAAACUGCCUGAUGGAGGGGGAUAACUACUGGAAACGGUAGCUACUACCGCCUACCAUCGGAUGUGCCCAGAGGGGAUUAGCUAGUAGGUGGGGUAAAGGCUCACCUAGGCGAUGAUCCCUAGCUGGUCUGAGAGGAUGACCAGCCACACUGGAACUGAGACACGGUCCAGACUCCGACGGGAGGCAGCAGUGGGGAAUAUUGCACAAUUGGCGCAAGCCUGAUGCAGCCAUUCCGCGUGUAUGAAGAAGGCCUUCGGGUUGUAAAGUACUUUCAGCGGGGAGGCGUUACCCGCAGAAGAAGCACCGGCUAACUCCGUGCCAGCAGCCGCGGUAAUUC
RNAcentral lists this ribosomal RNA (406 nucleotides) under uncultured bacterium. RNAcentral describes it as "partial 16S ribosomal RNA". It matches the Rfam family "Bacterial small subunit ribosomal RNA", at positions 30 to 526 of the family's 1533-position model. The record is from RNAcentral.